AGAGAGAGACAUGCGCGCAUAUCAAUAAGCGGAGGAAAAGAAACUAACAAGGAUUCCCCUAGUAACGGCGAGUGAAGCGGGAAGAGCUCAAAUUUGAAAUCUUAAAGGGUUUCCCUUUACGAAUUGUAGUUUAAAGAAGUGUUUUCUGUUGAGGUUUUGGUAAAAGUUCUUUGGAAUAGGACAUCAUAGAGGGUGAGAAUCCCGUAUUUGACCUUUACUUUCAACUUUGUGAUACACUUUCAAAGAGUCGGAUUGUUUGGGAAUGCAGUCCAAAAUGGGUGGUAAAUUUCAUCUAAAGCUAAAUAUUGGCGAGAGACCGAUAGCGAACAAGUACCGUGAGGGAAAGAUGAAAAGAACUUUGAAAAGAGAGUUAAACAGUACGUGAAAUUGUCAAAAGGGAAGCGUUUGACACCAGUGUUGUUUUUCUGAAAAUCAAUUAAAGAACUGUUUAUGCUAAGUUGUUUAGACUUUAUCAGCCUAUCUGUUUAGUUUUGAGCUUUUCUUUAAUGCACUUUUCAGUUAACAAGUCAACAUCAAUUUCUUUUGCUGUAAAAAAGCUUGAGGAAGGUGGCUUGAGAUUCGUCUUAAGUGUUUAUAGCCUCUUGCCUAUGCAGUCGGAGAGAUUGAGGUCUGCAGCGUAGAUCCUUCGGGGCUAAAUGCAUUUGUGCUAAGUUAUAGCAUUUUAUAGACAACUUGUUGACUAUGAUUUGUCUUGUAGCUUACUCGCUUAUGUUAUUUUACCUACGCUUAGGAUGUUGACGCAUGAGAUAUACGC
Molecule: ribosomal RNA, 775 nt
Filed under: uncultured Neocallimastigales
Lineage: Eukaryota; Fungi; Neocallimastigomycota; Neocallimastigomycetes; Neocallimastigales
Description: partial large subunit ribosomal RNA
Rfam family: Eukaryotic large subunit ribosomal RNA
Source: RNAcentral